This 1314-nucleotide ribosomal RNA is filed under the name Triticum aestivum (bread wheat). RNAcentral describes it as "partial small subunit ribosomal RNA". The record is from RNAcentral. Lineage: Eukaryota; Viridiplantae; Streptophyta; Magnoliopsida; Poales; Poaceae.
AUGGUCCGCGAGUUGCUGGCCGUGCUGGUGCGCGCGGCGCUGCAGUGGGCGCUGGCGACGCUGCUCCUCGCCAACGGCGCCGCCUUCUGCCUCAUCGCCGCCGCGGCCUCCUCGCUCCGCCUCGGCCCGCCAUGCCUCCUCUGCGCACGCGUCCACCGCCUGCUCUGCUCCGACUGCGGCCAAGAAGAACGAGACGCCUUCCGCCGCCUGCUCUGCGACGCUCACGUCGCCGCCAUCGCGCGCUUAGGCGCACAAGAAGCAGAGCAGCCGGCGUGCUCUCCUUCUGAUCACGUCGACGCAGGGACAAAAUAUGGAGGUCUGGAGUCUCACCGCGUCGUCUCCAUCGGCAGCGAGAUCUGCGAGCAAGAUCGUGGCGCCGACGAUGACCACCCUCGUGCCGCUGCCACCAACCUCAGCACCCUCGGAAGAACGUCGAGCAUGGACAGCGGCGAAGGCCCGUACGUGUCCCUGUUCGAGCUCGCUCCCCUCGUCGCCCUCCCGGAAGCCAACCCGCCGCCGGAUUACGAUGCCAAAGAAGCACCUCACGGUCACGGUCACAGGACGACGACGAGGCCGGAGCACGACGAGAGAGCGUCCCCGAGCGACGCGGCAGGCGGCGAGCCGGCGCUGACGGUGAGCGGCCUCGUCGCCGCCCUCCGCGCGCAGCGGAGGGAGCUGGAGGCGGCGCGCGCGGAGCUGCACGGCGAGCGGCGCGCUAGGGCGGAGCUGGAGGAGCAGGGCGAGCUGGACCGGGAGGCGGCGCGGGUGGCCAUGCAGCUCGUCCACGAGGCGGAGACGGAGAAGCACGAGCUGCAGCGGCAGCUCGACGCGCUCAGGGUCAGGGCCCAGCUCCACGACUACGAGGCCGCCGGCUUGGACGCGGCGGACUACUCUGCUCCGGUCAGCCGGCUCGGCCGCCGGCUGAGCCGCGACGGCGGCAGUGAGUCGAUGGGCCUGGAAGUGGAAGACGAGGCGGGCUGGAGCGGGAACAAGAACUACCAGUCGCUGGUGGACUUCCUGCCGGGCUCGGUCUACUCCUCGUCGCCGGACCUGGCCAACCUGCUGAGGCUCUACACGGAAGGCAAUGGCAAUGGAACUCGUCGGCCGAAAGAGGGUGACAUCACCGAGGAGGAGGAGGAGGAGGAGGAGGUCGUCGUCGCCGUCACGGCCGCAGCUGUCUCUGGUUUCGACGGCGGGGACGGUGAGGAGGCCACUAGCAUGGCUGCUGCUGCUGGUGCUUCUUUGGCGGAAAGCGGUGGCGACCACGUCCGAGCAGAUCUUGCACAAGACGAAGCAGCUGUAAUGCGUGCAUGA